CUCCGGAUUGUGGGCACGCGUGCAUGUGUGCCCAGUGUGAUGGAAGGAGAGAGCCACCAGGAGUGGACCACAGUCACCUGCUGUCGUGUUGUGGUGUAGCCAGAAGACACCGCCCCACACACAGGACACCCCUGGACCUGGAACAUCCAAACUAUACAGCCGAAGCCCUCAUGAACCAGCCUGCACAUCUCUUCUCUUCCCUCUCUGCGCC
This is a long non-coding RNA of Tupaia belangeri chinensis (Chinese tree shrew), 211 nucleotides long. RefSeq lists it as uncharacterized. Lineage: Eukaryota; Metazoa; Chordata; Mammalia; Scandentia; Tupaiidae. The transcript has 3 exons. The record is from RefSeq and is a predicted model, not a curated record.